AUUGAACGCUGGCGGCAUGCCUUACACAUGCAAGUCGAACGGUAACAGGUCUCCGGAUGCUGACGAGUGGCGAACGGGUGAGUAAUACAUCGGAACGUGCCUAGUAGUGGGGGAUGACUACUCGAAAGAGUGGCUAAUACCGCAUGAGAUCCACGGAUGAAAGCAGGGGAUCGCAAGACCUUGUGCUACUAGAGCGGCCGAUGGCAGAUUAGGUAGUUGGUGGGAUAAAAGCUUACCAAGCCGACGAUCUGUAGCUGGUCUGAGAGGACGAUCAGCCACACUGGGACUGAGACACGGCCCAGACUCCUACGGGAGGCAGCAGUGGGGAAUUUUGGACAAUGGGCGAAAGCCUGAUCCAGCAAUGCCGCGUGCAGGAUGAAGGCCUUCGGGUUGUAAACUGCUUUUGUACGGAACGAAAAGCCCCGGGUUAAUACCCUGGGGUCAUGACGGUACCGUAAGAAUAAGCACCGGCUAACUACGUGCCAGCCGCCGCAGUAA
This 498-nucleotide ribosomal RNA is filed under the name uncultured bacterium. RNAcentral's name for it is "partial 16S ribosomal RNA". It matches the Rfam family "Bacterial small subunit ribosomal RNA", at positions 30 to 523 of the family's 1533-position model. The record is from RNAcentral.